UACCAGCUCUCCGAGUUGUAGGGAUGAUUAUUGGGCUUAAAGCGUCCGUAGCUGGCUUAGCAAGUCUCCUGUUAAAUUCAGCGACCUAAUCGUUGAGCCGCGGGAGAUACUACUAGGCUAGGAGGCGGGAGAGGUCGACGGUACUUUCGGGGUAGGGGUGAAAUCCUAUAAUCCCGGGAGGACCACCAGUGGCGAAGGCUGUCGACUAGAACGCGCUCGACGGUGAGGGACGAAAGCUGGGGGAGCGAACCGGAUUAGAUACCUGGGUAGUCCCAGCUGUAAACUAUGCGGGCUAGGUGUUGGGGUGGCUACGGGCCACUUCAGUGCCGCAGGAAAGCCAUUAAGCCCGCCGCCUGGGGAGUACGGCCGCAAGGCUGAAACUUAAAGGAAUUGGCGGGGGAGCACCACAAGGCGUGAAGCUUGCGGUUC
RNAcentral lists this ribosomal RNA (429 nucleotides) under uncultured archaeon. RNAcentral describes it as "bacterial SSU rRNA". It matches the Rfam family "Archaeal small subunit ribosomal RNA", at positions 474 to 903 of the family's 1478-position model. The record is from RNAcentral.